UGGGGAAUAUUGCACAAUGGGGGAAACCCUGAUGCAGCAACGCCGCGUGAGUGAUGACGGUCUUCGGAUUGUAAAGCUCUGUCUUUGGGGACGAUAAUGACGGUACCCAAGGAGGAAGCCACGGCUAACUACGUGCCAGCAGCCGCGGUAAUACGUAGGUGGCGAGCGUUAUCCGGAAUUAUUGGGCGUAAAGGGAGCGUAGGCGGAUAAUUAAGUGGGAUGUGAAAUACUCAGGCUCAACCUGGGGGCUGCAUUCCAAACUGAUUAUCUAGAGUGCAGGAGAGGAGAGUGGAAUUCCUAGUGUAGCGGUGAAAUGCGUAGAGAUUAGGAAGAACACCAGUGGCGAAGGCGACUCUCUGGACUGUAACUGACGCUGAGGCUCGAAAGCGUGGGGAGCAAACA
RNAcentral lists this ribosomal RNA (402 nucleotides) under uncultured bacterium. RNAcentral's name for it is "partial 16S ribosomal RNA". It matches the Rfam family "Bacterial small subunit ribosomal RNA", at positions 355 to 774 of the family's 1533-position model. The record is from RNAcentral. RNAcentral also lists the same sequence under 1 other name.